GAAAUUAACAAGGCAACUACACAAUUCCAUUAAAAAGUAACUGCUACAUCAAUUAAGGCUGUUCGAAGGAAAUACAAAACUACAUAUAUGCAUGAACAAACUGCCUAUAAAAAUAAAGACAUGUAUUUUAAUGUGAUUGAAAUCUCAUUAAAAAUAUAUAAGGGUGAAAUCGUAAAAUAAGCUAUGACAGCUUGUGAACAUCAUAGCUUGCCAAAAAGUUAAAGUUAGAAGCAAUAAAUUUCGUUUAGUUCGUUGCUUUAUUUUACUCGAGGUUUUCUAACUCCUCUUGGGCACGUUGUUUAGCUUCACCAGAGACAUUAGGGUUAUGCAUGGCAGCUUUGUAACCACCACGGACAUUACCAGUAUUUUUCUGGUGCUCCUCUCCUACUUCACCUUCAUGCUCUUCGAGAUAUUCUUUCUCGCGUUGCUUGGUCUCUUCAGAGACGUUGGGGUUAUGAAGUGCAGCCUUGUGACCACCGAUAACGUUUCCAGGAUUAGGCAUUUUAAAUAUAGAUUGAGAAUAAACUUGAUUUAUGAAGAGACUCAGAGCGAAUGUUGCCUUUUAUAAUUUUUUUCUGUGGGCAAAAUCGCUAGUUUAAUCAAGACACGCAAGUCUUCUGUCACUCGUAUUUUGUAACAAUGACGAGGAUUUGCUUAUGGCACUGUAAGAAGUUAGCUUUGACAUUCAAAUACAUCAACGUGAGAUAAUUGUAGAGAUUC
Molecule: non-coding RNA, 720 nt
Organism: Schizosaccharomyces pombe (fission yeast)
Lineage: Eukaryota; Fungi; Ascomycota; Schizosaccharomycetes; Schizosaccharomycetales; Schizosaccharomycetaceae
Source: the annotation of a GenBank genome assembly